CGGGGCUCAAUGCCUUGUAAUUGGAAUGAUGGGAAUCUAAACCCCUUCCAGAGUAUCAAUUGGAGGGCAAGUCUGGUGCCAGCAGCCGCGGUAAUUCCAGCUCCAAUAGCGUAUAUUAAAAUUGUUGCAGUUAAAAAGCUCGUAGUUGAAUUUCUGCCGCCCCGACGAGACCCCACGGGCCCGACGCCGCGGCUUAUUUCGGACUUGCGUGCAUCUCCGAAUGUUUACUUUGAGAAAAUUAGAGUGCUCAAAGCAGGCCCUUGCCUUGAAUACUUUAGCAUGGAAUAAUAAAGUAGGACUUUGGUUCUAUUUUGUUGGUUUAGCACCAAAGUAAUGGUUAAUAGGAACAGUUGGGGGCAUUCGUAUUUAACUGUCAGAGGUGAAAUUCUUAGAUUUGUUAAAGACGAACCACUGCGAAAGCAUUUGCCAAGGAUGUUUUCAUUAAUCAAGAAC
Molecule: ribosomal RNA, 453 nt
Filed under: Theileria cf. mutans 2
Lineage: Eukaryota; Apicomplexa; Aconoidasida; Piroplasmida; Theileriidae
Description: SSU rRNA
Rfam family: Eukaryotic small subunit ribosomal RNA
Source: RNAcentral